Non-coding RNA from Podarcis lilfordi (Lilford's wall lizard), 66 nucleotides. The record is from the annotation of a GenBank genome assembly. Lineage: Eukaryota; Metazoa; Chordata; Lepidosauria; Squamata; Lacertidae.
UAAGCUCAGUGACAGAACAUCUGCUUUGCAUGCAGAAGGUCCAAGUUUUGAUCCCUGGCAUCUCAA